GUGUUUGGCACCUCGAUGUCGGCUCAUCACAUCCUGGGGCUGAAGUAGGUCCCAAGGGUAUGGCUGUUCGCCAUUUAAAGUGGUACGCGAGCUGGGUUUAGAACGUCGUGAGACAGUUCGGUCCCUAUCUGCCGUGGGCGCUGGAGAAUUGAGGGGGGCUGCUCCUAGUACGAGAGGACCGGAGUGGACGCAUCACUGGUGUUCGGGUUGUCAUGCCAAUGGCAUUGCCCGGUAGCUAAAUGCGGAAGAGAUAAGUGCUGAAAGCAUCUAAGCACGAAACUUGCCCCGAGAUGAGUUCUCCCUGAGACUUUAAGUCUCCUGAAGGAACGUUGAAGACGACGACGUUGAUAGGCCGGGUGUGUAAGCGCAGCGAUGCGUUGAGCUAACCGGUACUAAUGAACCGUGAGGCUUAACCUU
This 417-nucleotide ribosomal RNA is filed under the name Klebsiella pneumoniae. Its description in RNAcentral is "partial 23S ribosomal RNA". It matches the Rfam family "Bacterial large subunit ribosomal RNA", at positions 2514 to 2925 of the family's 2925-position model. The record is from RNAcentral. Lineage: Bacteria; Pseudomonadati; Pseudomonadota; Gammaproteobacteria; Enterobacterales; Enterobacteriaceae.